UACGGAGGGUGCAAGCGUUAUCCGGAUUCACUGGGUUUAAAGGGUGCGUAGGCGGGCAGGUAAGUCAGUGGUGAAAUCCCCGAGCUUAACUUGGAAACUGCCAUUGAUACUAUCAGUCUUGAAUAUUGUGGAGGUCAGCGGAAUAUGUCAUGUAGCGGUGAAAUGCUUAGAUAUGACAUAGAACACCAAUUGCGAAGGCAGCUGGCUACACAUAUAUUGACACUGAGGCACGAAAGCGUGGGGAUCAAACAGG
Molecule: ribosomal RNA, 253 nt
Filed under: uncultured bacterium
Lineage: Bacteria
Description: partial 16S ribosomal RNA
Rfam family: Bacterial small subunit ribosomal RNA
Source: RNAcentral